This 274-nucleotide ribosomal RNA is filed under the name uncultured bacterium. RNAcentral describes it as "partial 16S ribosomal RNA". It matches the Rfam family "Bacterial small subunit ribosomal RNA", at positions 523 to 796 of the family's 1533-position model. The record is from RNAcentral.
AGACGUAGGGUGCAAGCGUUAAUCGGAUUUACUGGGCGUAAAGCGCGCGUAGGCGGCUAAUUAAGUCAAAUGUGAAAUCCCCGAGCUUAACUUGGGAAUUGCAUUCGAUACUGGUUAGCUAGAGUGUGGGAGAGGAUGGUAGAAUUCCAGGUGUAGCGGUGAAAUGCGUAGAGAUCUGGAGGAAUACCGAUGGCGAAGGCAGCCAUCUGGCCUAACACUGACGCUGAGGUGCGAAAGCAUGGGGAGCAAACAGGAUUAGAAACCCUAGUAGUCC